Molecule: long non-coding RNA, 1801 nt
Filed under: Cotesia glomerata
Lineage: Eukaryota; Metazoa; Arthropoda; Insecta; Hymenoptera; Braconidae
Description: uncharacterized LOC123274410
Source: RNAcentral
AAUUACAUAUUUAAUUUAUAAAAUUAAAUUCAAGUGACAGUUCAAGUCAAAAAAUUUUGUUAUUGGUAUCUAGUGACAUCUGUGUGAGAAAGGAGUCAGUCUGUUUAAUUAUUACCCUUUACAACAGAUGGCAGUGGUUCCAGUUGUUCAACCUGAAACGCCAUUUGUAGGAUAACCCGAGUCACGUAAUGCCACGCGGUGAAACACCGGAUGGAUACACUUUGCUUUCGCUACAUCGUCCAAUGUCGCCAUUACUAAUUUUUUUUCUUUAUUUUACAGACUUGUUAAGUCCUAUCAAUGCUCUACUCUCCACUAUCAUACCAAGGAUUUCCUUGAUAUUCUAUCCGUAUUUUUUGAUGUUAUAAUCUCUGAUUACCCAAUAAAAGUACACUAAAGCAGAGUACUUAAAAACACAUUAAAAAUUAUCUAUCAGCGCUUAGAUAAAUUAUUAUAUAAUUAGCAAGAACAUAAUGAGAAGUGAAACGAUCAGCUGUCAAAUGUAUUUAGAGAAGUAUUAAAUAUUUUAAACGGGAAAUUACUUAGUCCUCAUCAUCUUUAUUGGAGCUUUGGAGUUCUUUCUACUCAGCAGUAGGCGUCAUUAGUUGUUGCCAAGGCAUAUGUUUCAACAAAGUCCGCAUUACCACGACAAUUAGGGUCUUAAAAUACGUUAACGAAGAAAUACUGUCUGUUGAACAUACUGUACAUUAUUGUUAUAAAAUGUACAAGCCUGUUUAUAUAUGUAACAGAAUAAUAUUUUAACAAAACACGUUUAUAUAACUUAUACAUGUUAUAUUAAAUUACUUGUUAAUAUUUUUACUACUUGCACUACUAAAAAAAGUACUAUAAAUAUUUACUUGAGUAUAACUGUUAUCAAAAAUAAAUAAUACAGUAUGUAAUCACGGCAAUCAGCAAGUAAAGAUUAAGAUAAAUGACCUUGCUAUUUAUUUCUAAUAGCUUCUACAAUAUUUUUUAACAAAGUAUAUACAUUGAAAUAACGGUUUGAAACGGUCAUUUCAGUAUAUUGACCCACGAAAAUAUUUUUUCAUCCUGAGUAAUCAUUGCGAUUAUUAAAACGGAAGUGGUAUAUACAUCAAACUAAACUUGUAUUUUUUUAUUAAUUAAUUAAUUUUUUUUUUUGUUAUUUCUGUAUUAUUUACUCGAACGCGUGACUAAAUUUCUCGUGACCUGGACUAAUAUUUUAUGUAAUCCAUUAAAUACAAUAUUCAACAUCUACGCCUUCAAUUAGCACAAUAGUAUCCAAGCCAUUAAUUAAUAUCAACAGCAAGAGGCGGAAUUUUUCAUAAAUAACAACAGAAACGAGUCAUGAUGAAAAUACUCAUAUUUUUUUUUUCUUUUUUUUUUUUUUUUUCUCUUGUCGACAAUUUAUUUUUCAUAACAUUCAAGCUAGUGGAAUUGUUGCUCAGUUUUGGCAUUAAAAUUUUGAUUGCAUACUCAAGUAAUGCAUGGCUUUAAGAUUUAACAAGUGGAAUGAAGAAUAUGGUCCAUGAAGAUGAAAUAAAAAAUUUAGCCGACAAGCAUAAAAGGUGAAGAAUAAAAAAUGAAAAUAAAAAAGCAUAAACGUGUUGAGAACAGGCAACAGCAAAUGGUUUUUGGUACCAGCCAGCUCCUAUCCUAACUGUGUAUAUAUGAGUAUAUACGUGGAGCCUUUAUUUAUUUCAGUGCGGUGUUGCCGACUUGAGUAAUAUUGAUCGAACCUGGCUGGGUUAGUUCCCAGAUGGCAACAUAGCAGACAACCCAGCUGAUUCAAGCUUGUCGUCCCUGUUAUACUCUUUUCGUCUGG